AUGCUCUCACAGACUCAUCUUCUCUGGCUUCUAGUGCUCUGGAUUCAGGACUCCUGUGGGGACAUUGUGAUGACUCAGACUCCAGAAUCGCUGUCAGUGUCUCCAGGAGACAGAGUCACCAUCAACUGCAAAGCCAGUUCCAGUGUUAGCAGCUACAUGGCCUGGUACCAACAGAAACCCGGACAAGCUCCUAAGCUCCUCAUCCACAGCGCCUCCACCCGGCCUUCUGGGAUCCCAGACCGGUUCAGCGGCAGUGGGUCUGGCACUGACUUCACUUUUACAAUCAGCCGGGUUGAAGCGGAUGAUACUGGGAAUUAUUAUUGUCAGCAGGGUAACUACUACCCUCUCACAGUGAUACAGACCAAUACAAAAACCUCCCUGCUCUCUUCUGUUUUCAGUUCCUCUGUAUGUCAGCUGCCUCCUGCAAUCAUGCUUCCAGCAGACUUGCUGGGAAGCGGGAAUCUCUUGCUUCAAGAGCCUCCCACCUCGCAGGUGGAUCUCACCUCCCAACAGUCAGGUGACCGGGUGGACAAAGAGCUGUCCUGCUAUCUUCUCAAAGCAUCCAGGACACCAUGUUCCGGGCAUAAGUAA
Molecule: non-coding RNA, 591 nt
Organism: Pelodiscus sinensis (Chinese soft-shelled turtle)
Lineage: Eukaryota; Metazoa; Chordata; Testudines; Trionychidae
Source: the annotation of a RefSeq genome assembly